This is a long non-coding RNA of Eriocheir sinensis (Chinese mitten crab), 1068 nucleotides long. RefSeq lists it as uncharacterized. The record is from RefSeq and is a predicted model, not a curated record. The transcript has 4 exons. Lineage: Eukaryota; Metazoa; Arthropoda; Malacostraca; Decapoda; Varunidae.
GGGGAAGGGCGCAUUGAGGGUGGUAGGAAGGUGUAUGGUAAGGGUGGUGGUGGGGAGUGAUUGGUUGCAGUAGGUGUAGUGGUUGAAAGGCUUGUGGUGGUGGUGGUGAGGGUUGUGGGAAGGGUGGUGGUGGUGUGGUUGAGGUUGUGUAGUGGGUGGUAGUGUGGUAGAGGUUGUGUUGUGGGUGGUAGUGUGGUAGAGGUUGUGUUGUGGGUGGUAGUGUGGUAGAAGUUGUGUUGUGGGUGGUAGUGUGGUAGAGGUUGUGUUGUGGGUGGUAGUGUGGUAGAGGUUGUGUUGUGGGUGGUAGUGUGGUAGAGGUUGUGUUGUGGGUGGUAGUGUGGUAGAGGUUGUGUUGUGGGUGGUAGUGUGGUAGAGGUUGUGUUGUGGGUGGUAGUGUGGUAGAGGUUGUGUUGUGAGUGGUAGUGUGGUAGAGGUUGUGUUGUGGGUGGUAGUGUGGUAGAGGUUGUGUUGUGGGUGGUAGUGUGGUAGAGGUUGUGUUGUGGGUAGUAGUGAGUAGGAUGGCACUCUGGAAUUCAACGGCGCCAGAUUGUCGUAUUCUGCCUCUUGUGGUUGCCGAUUUCCGACUCAAAAACUGCUUUCAUCACCCAAAUAACCGCCUUCAUAUAUGGUUAUCGUUUAAAUGGGGAAUUAUUGGUGUUUCUUGAGAGAGAGAGAGAGAGAGAGAGAGAGAGAGAGAACCGGUAGAUACGCAGCCCUGAGUACGAUAAUCUGGCAACGGUGCUCUGGAUGGAAGGCUUGUGUUGUGUUGCGGGUGGUGGUGAGAGUUGAGGUGGCGUGAGGUCAGUGAAGGUAUUGAGAAGGUAAAGGAGGUGGUUUUCACGUGGAGAUGUUGACUGUGCAUACAAAUCAAAUAUACAUCAAGUGUGAAGAUGGGUGCUGCUCGUGGUUGGUGGUAUUUAGAUGAUAGGGUGGUAGAGGUGUGGGCGAUAGGGUGGUAGAGGUGUGGGCGAGAGUUCCCUGAGUGGUUACCUUAGUCUCGAGUAGCUUGUAGCCUCGGUCUCCCCUGGACCAGUCCCACACAGACAUGUUGUGGUCCGGGGCCUCGUC